RNAcentral lists this long non-coding RNA (375 nucleotides) under Homo sapiens (human). Its description in RNAcentral is "HSALNT0309375". The record is from RNAcentral. Lineage: Eukaryota; Metazoa; Chordata; Mammalia; Primates; Hominidae.
AGGGACAUGGAUGAAGCUGGAAACCAUCAUUCUCAGCAAACUAUCGCAAGGACAAAAAAACAGACACCGCAUGUUCUCACUCACAGGUAUGAUGGCAUAUUCCUGUGGUACCAGCUACUUAGGAGACUGAGGUGAGAGAUACAGCUUGAGCCAGGGAGGUUGAGCCUGCAGUGAGCCGUGAAUAUGCCACUUCACUCCAGCCUGGGCAACAGAGCCAGAUCCCAUCUCCAAGGGAAAAAAAAAACCACUCCUAGAUGAUUACUCUAGAAUAGAAUCUAUGUCCUCAAGGAGCCAUGAAAGGGAACUCAAAGGAUUUCAGGAUUGGCAGGCAUAAGCUGCAGGAAUCUUGGUUAUCUUUCCACUGCACUCUCAUUG